GCGGGUGUAGCUCAAUGGUAGAGCACCUGCCUUCCAAGCAGGCUACGUGGGUUCGAUUCCCAUCACCCGCU
RNAcentral lists this transfer RNA (71 nucleotides) under Planctomycetota bacterium. Its description in RNAcentral is "Planctomycetes bacterium tRNA-Gly". It matches the Rfam family "tRNA". Rfam says of the family: Transfer RNA (tRNA) molecules are approximately 80 nucleotides in length. Their secondary structure includes four short double-helical elements and three loops (D, anti-codon, and T loops). Further hydrogen bonds mediate the characteristic L-shaped molecular structure. tRNAs have two regions of fundamental functional importance: the anti-codon, which is responsible for specific mRNA codon recognition, and the 3' end, to which the tRNAs corresponding amino acid is attached (by aminoacyl-tRNA synthetases). tRNAs cope with the degeneracy of the genetic code in two manners: having more than one tRNA (with a specific anti-codon) for a particular amino acid; and 'wobble' base-pairing, i.e. permitting non-standard base-pairing at the 3rd anti-codon position. Lineage: Bacteria; Pseudomonadati; Planctomycetota. The record is from RNAcentral.